Long non-coding RNA from Oncorhynchus masou masou (cherry salmon), 2488 nucleotides. RefSeq lists it as uncharacterized. Lineage: Eukaryota; Metazoa; Chordata; Actinopteri; Salmoniformes; Salmonidae. The transcript is spliced from 3 exons. The record is from RefSeq and is a predicted model, not a curated record.
CUUCCUGGUAGCAGGUUUAAAACGACAUGCUGCAUGCCGGGUAGGGUCGGACAUGGCGUUGAGUAGUGCGGACGAAAUGGAGGAAAUUAAGGAAAACAGUGGAUGAAGCAACAGCUGUGCUGGAAUGAGAACAAUCGCGGUGUCAGUUCUGAUUGUAUGGAGCGGGAGGAUGAGGGUCAAGGACCGAGAAUGGUCGGUAGUGGAAAGACGGAGGAAGAAGAAGAGAUUAUGAUACCGAAAACAUGAAGAGGGCUACGGACAAUGACCCAACACACCUCUAGGCUGUGUAAGGGCUAUUUGACCAAGAAGGAGAGUGAUGGAGUGCUGCAUCAGAUGACCUGGCCUCCACAAUCACCUGACCUCAACCCAAUUGAGAUGGUUUGGAAUGAGAUGGACCACAGAGUGAAGGAAAAGACUGUCGGAACAGCAUUCCAGGUCCUCCUCAGUGUUUGUGGUGGUGAGGGAGGAGAAUGUGGCGAUACCAGAUGAACUCUCAGAAGACGGGAGUCCCGGUGACAGACAAGGCUGUGUCCCGCACCGCAGCCAAGAAUGACGCAGCUGGCUGAGCUGUGCAGGCAGUUUCCUCACCAGAUCUUUCUACUGGGGAAACUGGUGGCCUUCGGAGCCGGUAUGGCUGCUCACAGGGGCUUUUGAACCCAGAUCUGAACACAGCAGAACUGCAUCAGAAAGCCCAAUCCCGAAUCAACACCUUUUUUAAAUUGUUUUAUACUUCAACCUUCAUUUAACUAGACAAGUCAGUUAAGAACAAAUUCUUAUUUACAAUGACGGCCUACCGAAAGGCCUCCUACGGGGACAAGACAUCACGACAAGAGACACCACACCACUACAUACAGGGAGACCUAACAACAUAGCAAGGCAGAAACACAUGACAACACAACAUGGCAGCAACAGGACAACAACAUAGCAAGGCAGAAACGCAUAACACAACAUGCCAGCAACACAACAGCAACUUGGUAGCAACACAACAUGGCAGCAACACAACAGCAACUUGGUAGCAACACAACAUGGCAGCAGCACAUAACAUGGUACAAACAUUGGGCACAGACAACAGUACAAAGGGCUGCGAACUGAAAAGAGGAGAGAUCCAGGGAUGUUUGUGUUUUGGGGACCUUUAAUGUCCAGUGCAGUUUCCUGACAAUUAUAAUGUCUUUAGUGUGAGAAUUAUAACGUCUUUAGUGUGAGAAUUAUAACGUCUUUAGUGUGAGAAUUAUAAUGUCUUUAGUGUGAGAAUUAUAACGUCUUUAGUGUGAGAAUUAUAAUGUCUUUAGUGUGAAAAUUAUAACGUCUUUAGUGUGAAAAUUAUAACGUCUUUAGAGUGAAAAUUAUAACGUCUUUAGAGUGAGAAUUAUAACGUCUUUAGAGUGAGAAUUAUAACGUCUUUAGAGUGAGAAUUAUAAUGUCUUUAGAGUGAGAAUUAUAAUGUCUUUAGUGUGAGAAUUAUAAUGUCUUUAGUGUGAAAAUUAUAACGUCUUUAGAGUGAGAGCUGUUUGCAAAGACCACCUGAAAUGUCUGCCUAUUUUGGUAGGACGGUGACAUCACCAAGCGGUAAAUUAGUUAAUAGACCAAUAAGAAAGUUCCAAACUUCUCUUCCAAUAACAGCGAGUCUUCAGUUCUCCCCUCUCCACUCAGACCACUCCCAGACAGUCCUAGUAAAAUUCUUGCUCUUUGCUACUAAGAAGCUAUUUUUUUUAAAUAAUUUUAAUUCAACCCAAUCACCAUAAGGUACGUAAAUGUUUUCCAGAAAUGAUUUGAUAUUGAGCUGAAAACUGCUUGACCUUUUAAUCUCCGACAGUUGAAACUAUGGUUGUAAAACUGCCUUCAAUAUGUUCCUAAUUCUAGUCUGUUUCCUGAAAUAAAUCAAUAAAGUAUUCCCACUAUCUUUAUUCAUCCAAAUCAAUUCAAUGUAAACAAACCACAACCGUUAAAUUAAAACUCACGUGAAUAGACGGGACAAAUCACAAAACAGUUUUAAUUAAAAUACUCAAACUCAUUUUCCUGGGAGUAUAGUAGAAUUAGUAAGUAUUAAUAUAUUAGGAUUUAUUUGGACAACUCAAUAUACUAUAAAACAACCAAAAACAUACAGGGAUGAGACCUGCAGCUCGUUUUGAGUUGGGGAGAUCAACUCAAUAUACUAGAAAAUAACUGUGAAAUAAACAUUUACCUUCAUUCAUAUAGUUUCUUGUCGGUCCAGCUGGCUAAUAAUCACCAAAAUGAAAACUAGACAGUCGGGGAUCGUCAAAAAGUCCUAAAACAAGGUGAGGCAAUAUAACACCUCGAAGACUGAAUGGUCUCCGGGAUAAACAUGAGUUUGACAUCCCUGGUGUCCACAGUACAAUAAAUAUGCUUAGUAUAAUGAAGUCCUUUACUAUACCAGGCAGUCAACAUUAUCAUUAUUGCCAGACUUCUAUGAAAAACCCCGCAGAAGACAUAGCUGUCAAAACAUUGGUUGAAUAAAUUGAUUGCAUCA